GAGUUUGAUCCUGGCUCAGGAUGAACGCUAGCGGCAGGCUUAACACAUGCAAGUCGAGGGGCAGCAUGGGAGUAGCAAUACUUCUGAUGGCGACCGGCGCACGGGUGCGUAACGCGUAUGCAACCUACCUGUAACAGGGGGAUAACACUGAGAAAUCGGUACUAAUACCGCAUAACACUAUGAGAGGCAUCUCUUGUGGUUGAAAGUUUCGGCGGUUACAGAUGGGCAUGCGUUGUAUUAGCUGGUUGGUAAGGUAACGGCUUACCAAGGCGACGAUACAUAGGGGGACUGAGAGGUUAACCCCCCACAUUGGUACUGAGACACGGAUCAAACUCCUACGGGAGGCAGCAGUGAGGAAUAUUGGUCAAUGGACGGAAGUCUGAACCAGCCAUGCCGCGUGCAGGAAGACGGCUCUAUGAGUUGUAAACUGCUUUUGUACAAGGGUAAACCUGAAUACGUGUAUUCAGCUGAAAGUACUGUACGAAUAAGGAUCGGCUAACUCCGUGCCAGCAGCCGCGGUAAUACGGAGGAUCCAAGCGUUAUCCGGAUUUAUUGGGUUUAAAGGGUGCGUAGGCGGAUUGAUAAGUUAGAGGUGAAAUGUCCGAGCUUAACUCGGGAACUGCCUCUAAUACUGU
Molecule: ribosomal RNA, 635 nt
Filed under: uncultured bacterium
Lineage: Bacteria
Description: bacterial SSU rRNA
Rfam family: Bacterial small subunit ribosomal RNA
Source: RNAcentral